RNAcentral lists this ribosomal RNA (301 nucleotides) under uncultured bacterium. RNAcentral's name for it is "partial 16S ribosomal RNA". It matches the Rfam family "Bacterial small subunit ribosomal RNA", at positions 509 to 809 of the family's 1533-position model. The record is from RNAcentral.
CAGCAGCCGCGGUAAUACGAAGGGGGCUAGCGUUGCUCGGAAUUACUGGGCGUAAAGGGAGCGUAGGCGGACAUUUAAGUCAGGGGUGAAAUCCCAGAGCUCAACUCUGGAACUGCCUUUGAUACUGGGUGUCUUGAGUGUGAUAGAGGUAUGUGGAACUCCGAGUGUAGAGGUGAAAUUCGUAGAUAUUCGGAAGAACACCAGUGGCGAAGGCGACAUACUGGAUCAUUACUGACGCUGAGGCUCGAAAGCGUGGGGAGCAAACAGGAUUAGAUACCCGCGUAGUCCCUGUCUCUUAUAA